RNAcentral lists this ribosomal RNA (329 nucleotides) under uncultured Pseudomonadota bacterium. RNAcentral describes it as "bacterial SSU rRNA". It matches the Rfam family "Bacterial small subunit ribosomal RNA", at positions 997 to 1348 of the family's 1533-position model. Lineage: Bacteria; Pseudomonadati; Pseudomonadota. The record is from RNAcentral.
GGAUCAGAGAUGGUCCUUUCAGUUCGGCGGGAUACCACACAGGUGCUGCAUGGCUGUCGUCAGCUCGUGUCGUGAGAUGUUCGGUUAAGUACGGCAACGAGCGCAACCCACAUUUUCCGUUGCCAUCAUUCAGUUGGGCACUCUGGAGACACUGCCGGUGAUAAGCCGGAGGAAGGUGUGGAUGACGUCAAGUCCUCAUGGCCCUUACGGGUUGGGCUACACACGUGCUACAAUGGUGGAGACAAUGGGUUAAUCCCAAAAAGCCAUCUCAGUUCGGAUUGGGGUCUGCAACUCGACCCCAUGAAGGCGGAAUCGCUAGUAAUCGCGUA